Molecule: ribosomal RNA, 500 nt
Filed under: uncultured bacterium
Lineage: Bacteria
Description: partial 16S ribosomal RNA
Rfam family: Bacterial small subunit ribosomal RNA
Source: RNAcentral
AUUGAACGCUGGCGGCAGGCCUAACACAUGCAAGUCGAGCGGAUGACGGGAGCUUGCUCCUUGAUUCAGCGGCGGACGGGUGAGUAAUGCCUAGGAAUCUGCCUGGUAGUGGGGGACAACGUUUCGAAAGGAACGCUAAUACCGCAUACGUCCUACGGGAGAAAGCAGGGGACCUUCGGGCCUUGCGCUAUCAGAUGAGCCUAGGUCGGAUUAGCUAGUUGGUGGGGUAAUGGCUCACCAAGGCGACGAUCCGUAACUGGUCUGAGAGGAUGAUCAGUCACACUGGAACUGAGACACGGUCCAGACUCCUACGGGAGGCAGCAGUGGGGAAUAUUGGACAAUGGGCGAAAGCCUGAUCCAGCCAUGCCGCGUGUGUGAAGAAGGUCUUCGGAUUGUAAAGCACUUUAAGUUGGGAGGAAGGGCAGUAAGCUAAUACCUUGCUGUUUUGACGUUACCGACAGAAUAAGCACCGGCUAACUCUGUGCCAGCAGCCGCGGUAA